AGGGUUUGAUCAUGGCUCAGAACGUACGCUGGCGGCACGCCUAACACAUGCAAGUCGAACGAAGUAGCAAUACUUAGUGGCAGACGGGUGAGUAACAUGUAGGUAUCUACCCUUUGGCCUGGAAUAACACGAGGAAACUUGUGCUAAUACCGGAUAAGUCUUUACGGAGAAAGCUUUAUGCACCAUUGGAUGAGCCUGCACUUGAUUAGUUUGUUGGUAGGGUAAUGGCCUACCAAGACUUUGAUCAAUAGCUGAUUUGAGAGGAUGAUCAGCCACAUUGGGACUGAGACACGGCCCAAACUCCUACGGGAGGCAGCAGUGGGGAAUCUUGCACAAUGGAGGAAACUCUGAUGCAGCGAUGCCGCGUGAGUGAAGAAGGCCCUUGGGUUGUAAAGCUCUUUCGUCGGGGAAGAAAAUGACUGUACCCGAAUAAGAAGGUCCGGCUAACUUCGUGCCAGCAGCCGCGGUAAUACGAAGGGACCUAGCGUAGUUCGGAAUUACUGGGCUUAAAGAGUUCGUAGGUGGUUGAAAUAGUUGGUGGUGAAAUCCCAGAGCUUAACUCUGGAACUGCCAUCAAAACUUUUCAGCUAGAGUUUGAUAGAGGAAAGCAGAAUUUCUAGUGUAGAGGUGAAAUUCGUAGAUAUUAGAAAGAAUACCAAUUGCGAAGGCAGCUUUCUGGAUCAUUACUGACACUGAGGAACGAAAGCAUGGGUAGCGAAGAGGAUUAGAUACCCUCGUAGUCCAUGCCGUAAACGAUGUGUGUUAGACGUUGGAAAUUUAUUUUCAGUGUCGCAGCGAAAGCGAUAAACACACCGCCUGGGGAGUACGACCGCAAGGUUAAAACUCAAAUGAAUUGACGGGGACCCGCACAAGUAGUGGAGCAUGUGGUUUAAUUCGAAGAUACGCGCAGAACCUUACCAACACUUGACAUGUUCGUCGCGACUUUAAGAGAUUAAAGUUUUCGGUUCGGCCGGACGAAACACAGGUGCUGCAUGGCUGUCGUCAGCUCGUGUCGUGAGAUGUUGGGUUAAGUCCCGCAACGAGCGCAACCCUCACUUUUAGUUGCCAUCAUUAAGUUGGGCACUCUGAAAGAACUGCCAGUGAUAAGCUGGAGGAAGGUGGGGAUGACGUCAAGUCCUCAUGGCCCUUACGUGUUGGGCUACACACGUGCUACAAUGGUAUCUACAACAGGAAGCGAAACGGCGACGUUAAGCAAAUCCUUAAAAGAUACCUCAGUUCGGAUUGCACUCUGCAACUCGAGUGCAUGAAGCUGGAAUUACUAGUAAUCGUGGAUCAGCGUGCCACGGUGAAUGCGUUCCCGGGUCUUGUACACACCGCCCGUCACACCAUGGGAGUUGGUUCUACCUUAAGGCAAGGUUUUAAACCCUUGACCACGGUAUAGUCAGCGACUGGGGUGAAGUCGUAACAAGGUAACCGUA
RNAcentral lists this ribosomal RNA (1439 nucleotides) under uncultured bacterium. RNAcentral's name for it is "bacterial SSU rRNA". It matches the Rfam family "Bacterial small subunit ribosomal RNA". The record is from RNAcentral.